This 439-nucleotide ribosomal RNA is filed under the name uncultured bacterium. RNAcentral's name for it is "bacterial SSU rRNA". It matches the Rfam family "Bacterial small subunit ribosomal RNA", at positions 954 to 1392 of the family's 1533-position model. The record is from RNAcentral.
GCUUAACGCGAAGAACCUUACCAGGGCUUGACAUACAGGUGAAUAUGGCAGAGAUGCCAUAGUCCUUCGGGUGGACCAGCACAGGUGCUGCAUGGCUGUCGUCAGCUCGUGUCGUGAGAUGUUGGGUUAAGUCCCGUAACGAGCGCAACCCCUAUGAACUGUUGCCAGCGGAUAAUGCCGGGGACUCUGUUCAGACUGCCCAGAUUAACUGGGAGGAAGGAGGGGAUGACGUCAAGUCAGUAUGGCCCUUACGCCCAGGGCUGCACACGUGCUACAAUGUCCAGUACAAUGUGAACCGAGACCGUGAGGUGGAGGAAAUCGUCAAAACUGGGCUCAGUUCGGAUUGUAGGCUGCAACUCGCCUACAUGAAGUUGGAAUCGCUAGUAAUGGUGCAUCAGCUACGGCACCGUGAAUACGUUCCCGGGUCUUGUACACACCG